Molecule: ribosomal RNA, 468 nt
Filed under: uncultured bacterium
Lineage: Bacteria
Description: partial 16S ribosomal RNA
Rfam family: Bacterial small subunit ribosomal RNA
Source: RNAcentral
GACGAACGCUGGCGGCGUGCUUAACACAUGCAAGUCGAACGGAAAGGCCCUGCUUUUGUGGGGUGCUCGAGUGGCGAACGGGUGAGUAACACGUGAGUAACCUGCCCUUGACUUUGGGAUAACUUCAGGAAACUGGGGCUAAUACCGGAUAGGAGCUCCUGCUGCAUGGUGGGGGUUGGAAAGUUUCGGCGGUUGGGGAUGGACUCGCGGCUUAUCAGCUUGUUGGUGGGGUAGUGGCUUACCAAGGCUUUGACGGGUAGCCGGCCUGAGAGGGUGACCGGGCACAUUGGGCCUGAGAUACGGACCAGACUGCUACGGGAGGCAGCAGGGGGGAAUAUUGCACAAUGGGCGGAAGCCGGAUGCAGCAACGCCGCGUGCGGGAUGACGGCCUUCGGGGUGUAAACCGCUUUCGCCUGUGACGAAGCGUGAGUGACGGUAAUGGGUAAAGAAGCACCGGCUAACUACGUG